GAGGAAAGUCUUGUCAUCAUAUACUGAAUACAUAGGUAUAUGAGGGGAACCGCCUGAACUGAAACAUCUAAGUAGGGCGAGGAAGAGAAAUCAACUGAGAUUCCGUAAGUAGUGGCGAGCGAACGCGGAAGAGGCCAAACCGAGAGUAGUAAUACUUUCGGGGUUCGGACAGAAUACGGUAUUGUAAAGGUUUAGUGGAAUGGAAUGGGAAGUCCAACCGAAGAAGGUGAGAGUCCUGUACACGAAAAGCCUGAAUAGCCAUCUGUAUCCAGAGUACCGCCGGACACGUGAAACCCGGUGGGAAUACGGGGGGACCAUCCUCCAAGCCUAAAUACUACUCGGUGACCGAUAGUGAAGAAGUACUGUGAAGGAAAGGUGAAAAGUACCCCUGACGGGGAGUGAAAAAGAACCUGAAACCUUGUGUUUACAAGCACCGAAAGCUCAUCAAAGAGCGAUCGGGUACCUUUUGUAGAAUGGUCCGGCGAGUGAAUGUAACCGGCGAGGUUAAGCACUUAAGGUGUGAAGCCGCAGCGAGAGCAAGUCUGAAUAGGGCGUAUGAAGUCGGUUGUAUUCGACCCGAAACCGGGUGACCUACCCAUGGUCAGGUUGAAGUAAAGGUAAAACUUUAUGGAGGACCGAACCGACUCCCGUUGAAAUGGUAGCGGAUGAACUGUGGGUAGCGGAGAAAUUCCAAUCGAACCCGGAGAUAGCUGGUUCUCUCCGAAAUAGCUUUAGGGCUAGCCUUGAAAUAGAUUACCGGAGGUAAAGCACUGAAUUGGCUAGGGGCCGAGAGGUUACUGAACCUUAUCAAACUAAGAAUGCCGGAUAAUCGUUUUUCAGGAGUCAGACAGUGGGAGAUAAGUUUCAUUGUCAAAAGGGAAACAGCCCAGACCCACAGCUAAGGUCCCUAAGUAUAGUUAAGUGGAAAAGGAUGUGGAAUUGCACAGACAACCAGGAUGUUGGCUUAGAAGCAGCCACUCAUUAAAAGAGUGCGUAAUAGCUCACUGGUCGAGUGACUCUGCGCCGAAAAUUUAACGGGGCUAAACUAUACACCGAAGCUUGGGAUACAUCUAAUGUAUGGUAGGAGAGCGUUCUGUAUGGGGAGAAGUCGUAGCGAAAGCGGCGGUGGACUGUACAGAAGUGAGAAUGCCGGAAUAAGUAGCGAGAAUUAAGUGAGAAUCUUAAUGGCCGAAAGUCUAAGGUUUUUGGAGGAAGGUUCGUCCGCUCCAAGUAAGUCGGGAGCUAAGGUCAGGCCGAAAGGCGUAGCCGAUGCACAUACGGUUGAUAUUCCGUAACCAUCUGUAAUUUAAGCAAAGGGACACUUCAAAAGGGUGUGACCCGGGCGUUGGUUGACCCGGGCGUAAGGGACCGAAAUUAGAGUAGGGAAGCACACUUGGCUGAAGGCGAGAAAAGCUUUGCGUAUAGAAACAGAUGCCCGUACCGCAAACCGACACAGGUGGACAGGAAGAGAAUUCUAAGGCCAGCGGGAGAAGGGUAGUUAAGGAACUCGGCAAAUUGACUCCGUAACUUCGGAAUAAGGAGUGCUCGAAAGAGCCGCAGAGAAUAGGCCCAGGCGACUGUUUAGCAAAAACACAGGUCUCUGCCAAAUCGAAAGAUGAAGUAUAGGGGCUGACACCUGCCCGGUGCCGGAAGGUUAAGAGGAGGAGUGAGAGCUCCGAAUUGAAGCCCCGGUAAACGGCGGCCGUAACUAUAACGGUCCUAAGGUAGCGAAAUUCCUUGUCGGGUAAGUUCCG
This 1754-nucleotide ribosomal RNA is filed under the name human gut metagenome. Its description in RNAcentral is "bacterial LSU rRNA". It matches the Rfam family "Bacterial large subunit ribosomal RNA", at positions 135 to 1985 of the family's 2925-position model. The record is from RNAcentral.